GAUGAACGCUGGCGGCGUGCCUAAUACAUGCAAGUCGAGCGAACGGACGAGAAGCUUGCUUCUCUGAUGUUAGCGGCGGACGGGUGAGUAACACGUGGAUAACCUACCUAUAAGACUGGGAUAACUUCGGGAAACCGGAGCUAAUACCGGAUGAUAUUUUGAACCGCAUGGUUCAAAAGUGAAAGACGGUCUUGCUGUCACUUAUAGAUGGAUCCGCGCUGCAUUAGCUAGUUGGUAAGGUAACGGCUUACCAAGGCAACGAUGCAUAGCCGACCUGAGAGGGUGAUCGGCCACACUGGAACUGAGACACGGUCCAGACUCCUACGGGAGGCAGCAGUAGGGAAUCUUCCGCAAUGGGCGAAAGCCUGACGGAGCCACGCCGCGUGAGUGAUGAAGGUCUUCGGAUCGUAAAACUCUGUUAUUAGGGAAGAACAUCUGUGUAAGUAACUGUGCACGUCUUGACGGUACCUAAUCAGAAAGCCCCGGCUAACUACGUG
This 497-nucleotide ribosomal RNA is filed under the name uncultured bacterium. Its description in RNAcentral is "partial 16S ribosomal RNA". It matches the Rfam family "Bacterial small subunit ribosomal RNA", at positions 28 to 507 of the family's 1533-position model. The record is from RNAcentral.